AGGCGGUGGAGCAUGUGGUUUAAUUCGAAGCAACGCGAAGAACCUUUACCAGGUCUUGACAUCCCGAUGCUAUUUCUAGAGAUAGAAAGUUACUUCGGUACAUCGGUGACAGGUGGUGCAUGGUUGUCGUCAGCUCGUGUCGUGAGAUGUUGGGUUAAGUCCCGCAACGAGCGCAACCCCUAUUGUUAGUUGCCAUCAUUCAGUUGGGCACUCUAGCGAGACUGCCGGUAAUAAACCGGAGGAAGGUGGGGAUGACGUCAAAUCAUCAUGCCCCUUAUGACCUGGGCUACACACGUGCUACAAUGGUUGGUACAACGAGUUGCGAGUCGGUGACGGCGAGCUAAUCUCUUAAAGCCAAUCUCAGUUCGGAUUGUAGGCUGCAACUCGCCUACAUGAAGUCGGAAUCGCUAGUAAUCGCGGAUCAGCACGCCGCGGUCGAAUACGUUCCCGGGCCUU
Molecule: ribosomal RNA, 456 nt
Filed under: uncultured Streptococcus sp.
Lineage: Bacteria; Bacillati; Bacillota; Bacilli; Lactobacillales; Streptococcaceae
Description: bacterial SSU rRNA
Rfam family: Bacterial small subunit ribosomal RNA
Source: RNAcentral